Molecule: non-coding RNA, 468 nt
Organism: Zootermopsis nevadensis
Lineage: Eukaryota; Metazoa; Arthropoda; Insecta; Blattodea; Termopsidae
Source: RefSeq, a predicted model, not a curated record
UCUCCUACCUGUUUCUCGUAUAUUACCCAUCAUACAACGCGAGAAUAAAAUCCUGUGACUGUCGCCAUUUCCUGUGUUGGUGAAAAUGGUUCUGUUGCGUGGUCGCGUGUUUAGUUUGUUCUUUUAAUUAAAUGUGUUUUAUAUCAGAUAGAGUGUUUAAUAAUGGAAAAUGUACGAAAUUUAUGUGUCUAUAGUGACAUUCUGUGCAGUGUAUCUUAUCCCUUUAUUGUCAGUGCCUCAUGAGUUUGUGAUAGUUAAAUACGGCUUUCAAGAAGCAGAAUUGGAAAGCUUUUGCUGCCUACUAAUAUGUCCAAAGAUGGCGGUCGUUUCAUUCGAGACGUCUGAAUGUUGACGCGGGACCAUUUGGAGGAUUAUUAAUGGAUGCUGACCACUCAGAUGCGGGCGUACUGUCUCAUAACACCGUUCAAUAUGAAAUCUGAACAACAUCAGUGGCGAUGAAGAAUGAUG